This 498-nucleotide ribosomal RNA is filed under the name uncultured bacterium. RNAcentral describes it as "partial 16S ribosomal RNA". It matches the Rfam family "Bacterial small subunit ribosomal RNA", at positions 30 to 523 of the family's 1533-position model. The record is from RNAcentral.
AUUGAACGCUGGCGGCAUGCCUUACACAUGCAAGUCGAACGGCAGCACGGGGCAACCUGGUGGCGAGUGGCGAACGGGUGAGUAAUGCAUCGGAACGUACCUUUCAGUGGGGGAUAACGUAGCGAAAGUUACGCUAAUACCGCAUAUUCUGUGAGCAGGAAAGCAGGGGAUCGCAAGACCUUGCGCUGAUUGAGCGGCCGAUGUCAGAUUAGCUAGUUGGUGAGGUAAAGGCUCACCAAGGCGACGAUCUGUAGCGGGUCUGAGAGAAUGAUCCGCCACACUGGAACUGAGACACGGUCCAGACUCCUACGGGAGGCAGCAGUGGGGAACUUUGGACAAUGGGGGCAACCCUGAUCCAGCCAUGCCGCGUGAGUGAAGAAGGCCUUCGGGUUGUAAAGCUCUUUCGGCCGGGAAGAAAUCGCACGGGCUAAUACCCUGUGUGGAUGACGGUACCGGAAUAAGAAGCACCGGCUAACUCCGUGCCAGCCGCCGCGGUAA